AGUGAGAGAGAGAGAGAGAGAGAAAGGUCUUCCUUUUGCCGUUGGUUCACCCUCCAGUGGCCACCACGGCUGGCGCGCUGUGGCCGGCGCAUCACGCUAAUCCGAAGGCAGGAGCCAGGUGCUUCUCCUGGUCUCCCAUGGGGUGCAGGGCCCAAGCACUUGGGCCAUCCUCCACUGCCUUCCCGGGCCACAGCAGAAAGCUGGCCUGAAAGAGGGGCAACCGGGACAGAAUCUGGCGCCCCGACCGGGACUAGAACCCGGUGUGCCGGCACCGCUAGGUGGAGGAUUAGCCUAUUGAGCCAAGGCGCAGGCUGGGCCAUCUUCUACUGCUUUUCCAGGCUAUAGCAGAGAGCUGGAUUGGGAGUGGAGCAGCCAGGACUCAAACUGGCGCCCACAUGAGAUGCCAGCACUGUAGGUGGCUAGGCCACAGUGCCAGCCCCUCUCUGUAUAUUUAUAUGACUGAUACGUUUGAACUUAGUAUUUGUUCACUUUCAUAUAGGCUCUCUUUUCUUCAGUUUUUAUAUUUAUUUUGGGAAGAUUUAGAGUUGUACUACAAGCUUUUCAUUUAUAACUGUAGAAGUACCUUCACUUUAUAUUUCUUUUGAUAGAAAUACUAAAUUAUUCAAAACCUGGACAGGAGGCACAAUGACUGCAUAUCCUUUGAGUGUCAUUCUGGAGCAGUCUCUAGUAGGCCUACCUAUUACCUUUCUUGAGCAGUUAUUCUCCUGUGUGGUACCUAACAGCAUCAGCGCAAACAUUGCUUAAGAACUGAGAAAUUCAGGUUCUCACAUCCAACUCAGACCAACAGAAACAGCAACUCUGAGGAUGGCCUCACCAAUAUGUUUUUUAACAAACCUCUAGGUAACUCUGCCAGCAUUUUUUGCCGGUUUUAACACCUUGGGAACUCUUGGAAAUGUUUAGACAUUUUUGGUUAUGCCAACUUGAGCAAGGAGAAGUGCUACUGGUAUCUAGUGAGCGGAGAACAAGGAUACUGCACCCUACAAUGCAUAGGAUAGCCUCCCACCCCACCACACACACACACACACACACACACACACUUGCCAACAAAGAGUUAUCUGGCCCCAAAUAUGAAUAGUACAGAGGUUAAGAAACCUUCCUGUAAGGAAUAUUUUAAAUAUUUAUUUAUUUUGUUUAUUUAAAAGGCAGAGAUCUCUCAUCCUCUGGUUCAUUCCUCAAUGCCCACAAAAGCCAGGGCUGGGCCAGGCCAAAGCCAGGAGCCAGGAACUCAAUCUGGGUCCUCCAUGAAGGUUUUAGGGACCCAAGAAGCUGAGCCAUCACUGCUGGCUCCCAGAAUGUGUAUUAACAGGAAGCUAGAAUGGAGAGCGGAGCCAGGAUUUGAACCCAGGCAUUUUGAUAUGGGAUUUAGAUAUCCCAAGUGUAGCAUCUUAACCACUUUGGCAAAUACCCACCUUGCAGGGAAAUAGAAUUUUGAUUUACUGUUUAUUAUGGAUUAGGGCCCACAUGGUAACUUGAAGAAAACUGAUAAGAUACAAAUGAUUUUUAUCUGGUAGAAAUGCAAAAUAUUGCUGUCCAGUAAAAAUGGUGAUCCCAAAGGUUGUGGUUUAAGUAGUGUCGCUCCCCGUCUUCGUGGAGGAACGACACAGGACCCUGCAUUGUUCUUUCGUCUGCUCGGCCCUCCCCGGGUUUGCUGCUGGUUCUUCCCGGGUUGGCUACCGACCCUUCCACCUCCGUGGAAGGGCGGUUCCCCCUGCCACUUUCCCCACUUCCGCGGGGGAGCGGCACACCACCGGCCGGCUCUCUCGGGGGCUGCUCAGGUGUUCCCCUUAGAUGUUCCUGGUGCAUGUUGUCUCUCUCCUCCUUUAUAGUCCUCUUCCACCAAUCCCAACUCUGCUACCCACACGCCGAGUACGCUGCUCUCCUCCAAUCAGGAGCAGCUCCUGCAGCUUGUCAAGUUGGUGAAAGGCAGCUGUGUAGAAGCUGUUUAACUCCUCUCCCAGCGCCAUAUUGUGGGAGAGCAGAUGCAUAGAAUAAGUCUUAAUUCCAGUAACUUAGUCUAGUCUGAGUUGCUCCCCACAAGUAGGCAGUAGGUUUUUUUGUUUUGUUUUGUUUUUUAAGAUUUAUUUAUUUGAAAGGCAAAGUGAAAGAGAGGGAAAGACAGAGAAAUAAAUUUUCCACCCACUAAUUUACCUCCCAAAUGGAACUCAACAGCUGAGACAGGGCCAGGCUGAAACCAGGAGCCAGGUUCUCCACUCUAGUCUCCUCCUACAAGAGUGGCAGGCACCCAAGUCCUUGGACUGUCUGCUGCUGCUUUCCACAGGCGCAUUAGCAGGAAGCUGGAUUGGAAGCAGAGUAGCUGGAACUCAAACAGAAACUGCAGUAUGGGACACUGGCUUAAUCUUCUGUACCACAAUACUGCCCACAUAGGAUAUUGUAUUCAUUGUCCAUUAUGCAGCAAAAUGACCUAAAAUUUAGUAGCUUGAAACAAUUAGCAUUUAUGAUUGUCAUGGUUUCUAUGGAUUAAAAAUUCAUAGAGCUUUAAUUCUUAGAGAAACAAUUUUCAUAUGCUUUGUACAAGUUUUGUUUGUUUUCUUAUGGAAAGUCAUCUGACAUGUACUGUCUUUUUUUUUCUCCCUCUAGUGUGCCCUGCAAUUUUGUUUUGAUUCCUUUUUAAUUCUGAGCUUUUACCCAAAAUUUAUAGCAAGCUUUUACAUGGAAGGAAUGAGGAUUUUUUUCCAGGCCAGGUGAAAUUUUGAGAGUGAUUUCAAGUAGACUUUACAUCUUUUCAGGGACUGGAAAUUGUGAUAUGUGUUCAUUCUGGACCCUAGCAUUCAGCCAUCACAGAGACAGAUUGUUUCUUGCAAAUACAGCUUAUCUGUGUGCCCGACUCUGCUGCUUCUCAGCACCAAACAAGGCCAGGAAGCUCCUGCCACCGGCUGAGUAUUCAGGUCAUUUGCCUUAUGAAAUGCCCCCAUGUGACUCUUCCCUUAUGCUCCUAUGGACAGUGCACAUGCUACUUAAAUUCUCAGAGGAUGUUUAUUCCAACAUGAUUGCUGGUAACACUCAAAAAGAUAAGGUGAGUGUUUUUGUUUGAGAUCUGAGCACACUCUACACUUCAACCAGCAGGAUUUGAAUGCAGCUAGGAGGAAGCUAUUUCCUGAUAAGCCUUAAAUGCCAAGUUGUUUUCUAUACUUACCUUCAAUUGUGUUAAACUACAUUUUGGCUAUCAAAUGAAUGGUAUACUUUUUAUUUUAUUUUUUUACAGACUACUUUCUAUUUUAAAAGUCAUUUUUUUCUUUCCUCGUCUCCUUGUGGUAAUUUUUUUUCAAACUAGCCUUUUAAGCCUACCUAUGUUUUGGCCUAUUUACAUGUACCCAACACAUGGAUUUUUCUCUAAAAUUACCUUAGUUGGCCCAUUUGAUCUUAAUCUCACCUACCUAUUUUCAAAUAAGCAAAGAAUAACCAACAUUAGAAGAAAAGCAGAACUAAUCCUAUAAAUGCUUAAUGUCAAGAAUAAGAAAAGUUCUUUCACUUAUACCUUGUUUAAAUAAUUUUUGACACAAUAUUUAGUUAAAUACUGGAGUUAGGGCCUCCAAAGUAUAUAAUACAUAGAAAAUCUGGGAAUCUUGAGAUAAGUUUUGAAAAGAACUUUGGUUAAUUUCAAAAUAAUACUAACUUAGAAGCUCUUUACAGAGUACUUUUACAUAUAUUAUCUGUGCUGAUCUUUACAACAGUCUAGGCAGUUAAAAAAGGUAGUUAAUAAUGGUGGUGGAAUCUCUUUCAAAUGAAGAAAAGAAGCUUAAGGACCCAAACACUUCAACCAUCCGUUGAUGCCUUGCACCAUCUUCAUAGGUGGAAAGCUGGAGACAGGAGCCACAGUCAGGAGUCAAACCUAAGAAUAUCUAUGUAGGACACACACCCACCCCUACUUUUCACUUUAAAGGCAGCGCUGAACAUCAGACCUACAAAAUGAAGGUCUGGAGCAACCAACCAUAAUAGUUCUUUUUCUCCAUCAUGGGCUUGCAUAUUUUGUUUAUUUUACUGAUUAUGGGUAAGUGAUAGAUUGGAAACCAUUGGUUGCAA
Oryctolagus cuniculus (rabbit) is the source of this 4062-nucleotide non-coding RNA. NCBI's taxonomy places the organism in Eukaryota, Metazoa, Chordata, Mammalia, Lagomorpha, Leporidae. The record is from RefSeq and is a predicted model, not a curated record.